Molecule: unclassified non-coding RNA, 307 nt
Filed under: plant metagenome
Description: partial contains 5.8S ribosomal RNA, internal transcribed spacer 2, and large subunit ribosomal RNA
Rfam family: 5.8S ribosomal RNA (bases 1-105)
Source: RNAcentral
GAAAUGCGAUAAGUAAUGUGAAUUGCAGAAUUCAGUGAAUCAUCGAAUCUUUGAACGCACAUUGCGCCCGCCAGCACUCUGGCGGGCAUGCCUGUUCGAGCGUCAUUUCAACCCUCAGAACCCCUUGCGGGAUCUGGCGUUGGGGAUUGGCAUCCAGCCAGCGCCGAAAUCUAGUGGCGGUCCCUCCGCGACCUCCCCUGUGCAGUAGCGAUACCUCGCAGCGGGACAGCGGUCUGACCACGCCGUAAAACCCCCAACUUCUCAAGGUUGACCUCGAAUCAGGUAGGAAUACCCGCUGAACUUAAGC